GUCAAUGGAAGCCAGGUUCUUUCGGUUUCUGAAGAUCGUGGGAGUCGGGUUCAAAGCCAGAUCUGAAGCCGAAGGCCGUAAGCUGCUUCUGAAACUGGGCUACAGUCAUGAGGUGCUAUUUGACGUUCCUCCCGCCGUCCGAGUGUUCUGUUUCAAACCAAACAUAGUCUGCUGCACGGGGAUAGACAAGCAGAGGGUGCAUCAGUUUGCGGCUGCUG
Molecule: unclassified non-coding RNA, 218 nt
Filed under: Hevea brasiliensis (rubber tree)
Lineage: Eukaryota; Viridiplantae; Streptophyta; Magnoliopsida; Malpighiales; Euphorbiaceae
Source: RNAcentral